UACUCAUCCAUACUUAGUUUAAUAUUUUCCAAUCUUACCAAGAUUUGAUCACAAACAAAAAAAAACUUUAAAAUUCAUUCCAAGAAAUAAAAUACACAAGUCAUCCCGCAAGAGGAUCUUCCCUAGCCUGCUCUUCAGUUACAUCUUUAACAUUUACUCCCUCCUCUCUCUCUUGUUCGCUCUCACUCUUCGCUUCAGUGUAACACUCUCACUGUAAC
This 218-nucleotide unclassified non-coding RNA is filed under the name Hevea brasiliensis (rubber tree). The record is from RNAcentral. Lineage: Eukaryota; Viridiplantae; Streptophyta; Magnoliopsida; Malpighiales; Euphorbiaceae.